UAUCAGGAAAAUGUGCUGGUACGCUCU
This 27-nucleotide small RNA is filed under the name Bombyx mori (domestic silkworm). RNAcentral describes it as "ovarian small RNA-23525". Lineage: Eukaryota; Metazoa; Arthropoda; Insecta; Lepidoptera; Bombycidae. The record is from RNAcentral.